This 3914-nucleotide long non-coding RNA is filed under the name Homo sapiens (human). RNAcentral describes it as "non-protein coding lnc-SLC36A1-5:2". Lineage: Eukaryota; Metazoa; Chordata; Mammalia; Primates; Hominidae. The record is from RNAcentral.
AAGGUUAACAUUACAGUUCUUAAUUUCCUUUAGGGCAAACAAGAUAAUUAAACUUGGGUUUUGUGAGUCUUUUUUUGAUUUGCAGAUUAUAUAUGGUAACACAAUAAUGGUGGUUUGUUUUUAAGUUUUUUCUCAUCAGGUUUGAUAAUUUAAUGCAAACUUCAAAUCUGGAUGUGAAUAAUAAUAUUUUUAUUAUAGUAUAAUCCAGGUGAGUUUAUAGAAUUUGUGUUUUGUGCUUAUAAACUGUCACCUUCUGAUACUUUUCUUCAUCCCUCUAUUUGAAAAACCCUUGUAGAAUUUAACGAUUUAAUGGAAAAUGUUGCACUUUAUAGAAGGCCAUUUUAGAACUUACAGGUAACCUUUUUGAAGAGCUUAGAUUUGUAGACCACUGUUUAUGCUGAGUGACAUUUCUUUUAAAUGGUUGCAUUUGUCAAAUCUAUAAAGAUGUUUUUUAUAUUGCAGUUUUCUUUUUGUGCUACUUAAAGGAAUCUUUGCAAUGCUGCAUAUAGAUAAUUGUUGACCUUUUUAGUUCAGCAGUUUUUAAACUUGAAGUAACAUCAGCAUUUAUUUGAAUAUCAGGUUUUAGCUAACUGCCUAAUGUACCAAAAAAAAAUUAGCAAUGUCUUAUGUGGGAUGAGGGGUUAAGUUAAAGUUGCUGAUCAAGUAAUGGCCGUGUGGCACAAGAUGAUAACUAAGAAUUUCUGGUUCUAAGGUAGUAAUGCCUUUUGGGAUUUAUAUUUGUUUAAUGUUGAGAUUCUGGGGACCAUAGGUGGGCCUGUCAACUCUUAACAGACUAUAGUAAAGGAGAGAUGGUGGCACAUGUGAGAUAAAACUUGUUUAUAUUUACAUUCUUAUUAGUGGAUAGAUAUCACCUCAGUACAACACUGAAAUUAAACUGCCUUGUUCAUGCUUUCAUGUCUCAAAUCAAGGCCUAAAUGAGUAAAAAGAUGAUUACAGAUUACCUAAAACCCUUAACCAGUUUUGGUUUUUGAUUAUGCAUAUGUGUUGGCUUGCAAUUAGGUUUUUAGUUUCUGUUUAUGUGACUUGUUUGAAAACAUUGGAUUCGUCUUCUCUCCACAGUUUCUACUUGAACCUAGUAGCUUAUUUUAAUUCCCUGUAAGAGGAAAAUAAUAUAGGGAAUCUGUUCAACUAUUCCUUUAAUAAAUCAUGUGACUUGGCCAAUUACAGAAAUUCCUAAGUGUAGUAUUUUGAAAUGUGGCCAGUGUCCCAGAUUUGUAAGGUACAGUGUGCAUACAGUGUGUCUUAGGAUUUUUUUAAGUAAAUUAAGGAUGUUUACCAGAAAUUAUUGAUUUACUGAACCAAGUAUUUAUUUUCAGAAGCCCACUUUUGGGGAAGGUUGCCUAUAUUUUUGAUAGUAAUUAGAUGGAAGAUUAAAUCCUGUUUAACCUGGAUAGAAACAGUUUUAACUAUUGCUGAAGUUAAAAUCACUUUGGGGUGGGGUGGGGUGGCUCAUGCCUGUAAUCCCAGUGCUGUGGGAGGCUGAGGCCAGAGGAUUGCUCGAGGCCAGGAAUUUGAGACCAGCUUGGGCAACAUAGCAAGACCCUGUCUCUACAGAUAAUUGAAAAGUGAGCCAGAUGUGGUGGCGCAUUCCUAUAGUCUCCGUCUCUCAGGAGGCUGAGGCAGGAGAUUGCUUGAGCCCAGGAGUUGGAGGCUGCAGUGAGUUAUGAUCAUACCACUGCACUCUAACCUGGGUGACAGAGUGAGACCCUGUCUCUAAAAAACAAAAAAUUAGAAAACAACAAAAACCACUUCGGUUACUCACUGUCCUCAUGCUUUGAUGUCAGUUGUUCUCCUAAAUUUUAAAAUUUUGUUAUGAAGAUUGGAUGUACACUGAUUUGGCCCUUUAAAUGACAUUAUACCAAGAAGUUGGUAUAAGGGAGUAGGAGAUGAGAAAACUUUUUGAAAAAUCAUUUGGUGCAUGCUAAGGUAGCUUGUAGGACAUGUGGUUUUAAAAAAUUCAUGGAUUUUGAAGAAGGAUAGGGUGGAAGUAAAAUUUAGCUGAUAGCAUAGGGAUCAUUUGUGAUUUAUAUAGAAAAUAAUUAUAUUUUUGAGUGAGAAGCAUCAGACUUAAAUUUUUUUCUUCUAUUUUGGUUAUUACCAAAAGGAACAGAGAAACUCUCAGAAUUCUUUGAAUCAUAGAAUGUUAGUGCUGGAAAGGACUAGGAAGUGACUUGUACAACCCCUUCAUUUUACAAAGGAUCAGAGAGAAUUGGUUAGUAGAGUCCCAAAUCUGCUUUUAGAAGUAAUAUGGUGAUCAUCAGUUUAGAUUCACUGUAGGAAGGGCAGCCCUGUUAAAGUUUGUCAGGAGAAAAAGGGAAGGUAUCACUUUUUGUAUGUUCACCCAGUUGCUUCUGUAGUUUUCAUACCCCUGUUUUCUCAAUUUUCUUAGAACUGUCUUUAAUGGCCCAGCUCUACCAGGGCUUGUUGUCUAAGGACAUUAACUUGUGCUCCCCUCAGGGAUGGGUUUACUACUAGCUGUCAGAAAGCUAUUGGGUAUCCUAAUGUGUUAAUAGCUGAAACUCAGCUGUAAUUUCUCCUAAAUACUUCAGCAUUUUGCAUUCUGUACAUUGUGGUGCUUUUUCCACCUUGUAUUGUUGUAACUGUAAGCUCCUAGGGGGCAGCAAUUUGGUCUUAGGCGUGUACCCUGUUUAGUGCCUGGCAAUGCCAUGUUUAUAUCAAGGUCUUAAUAUUACUUUUGAGUUAUUUCUCCCACUCUUCAUGGAAGUGAUGCUCCAGCCUUGCUAAAACACUGAGGGUCCUCCCGAUAAGCCAGGCAUUGUGAUUCCUUGGCUUCAAGUGCCUUCUGUCUUCCCCGAAGGUCCACUGAGAUCUACAAUCCCCCCUUUCCUCUGAUCUCUUGCCAUGUAAGUAAUUUUUUAAAAGAUCAGUACAAGAGCUAUAUUUUUUCCUAAGAAAAAAUUUCAACAGGAAUGGGGAGUAGCCCCGUUUUGGGGCUGAUCUGUCCAGAAUUUGGAGUGAGGAACAAAUCCAUUCUCAUCUACUUUCCACAUUUUCCCUCUUGUUUGAGGUCCUGUUCCAACCUUCAUUUCUGAAACUGUUCUAGAGCACUUUGUCUUUCUCGUAGUUCAUAACUUACCCCUUCAGUCUAGAAUUAGAAUUACAUUAUCUGUUUUACUACUUUACUAGACUGUAAGCUCCUAGAAGAUAAGGACUAGGGAGUUCAUCUCUGUAUUCCACCAGAAGGUACAGUGACUCAUAACUAGAGUCUUUAGAUGAAACUUACUGAGUUGAAUAACUUAAUAUAUUUCUGUUUUCAUUCCCAAGGGAGGCCAUGUCUGGAGAUAGACCUUGAAUUUAAUAAAUUUUAGGCACUAUACCAUUUCAGUGGAGAAAAUUGUUGGGAAAUUUGGGGGGAUGGAUAUAUAAGGGGGAGGAAGUCACUGGCCAGUUUGAGGUGCUUCCAUUGGUCUGGGUAACUAGCCAUUUCUUCCUGAUUGUGCCUAGUAUAUCCCAGACAGUUUGUUUCUAUGCAGAAGAAUUUUAUAUGAAAUUUUCAUUUCUUUGCAAAAACUUGUUCCUUCUUUCAGUUCAUGACAUCAUCCAUGCUAAAGUCUGAGUCAUCUGCUUCCAUUUUUGUUAUUCCCCACAUCCAGUCUUCAGCUAAGUCCUGUCAGUUCUACCUCAAGUCUUUCCCGUCUUUCUUCCUCACCUAUGUAAUUUCAGUAGUCUCUCAGCUUCACUUAACCUCUUACUCCAGCCUACUUUAUACACAAUGUUAGAUUCAUCUUACUGAAACAUAGUUCUGACCAUGUAUUCCAUGUAUGUGUUCUCUCUCCCCUAUUAGACUGUAAGCUCCUUAUGGGCAGGAUCUGUGUCUGAGUCAUCUUUGUAUCUUGCCUAGCACCUAUCAAUAAAUACUUCUUGAAUGAACA